This 504-nucleotide ribosomal RNA is filed under the name uncultured Enterococcus sp. RNAcentral's name for it is "bacterial SSU rRNA". It matches the Rfam family "Bacterial small subunit ribosomal RNA", at positions 33 to 507 of the family's 1533-position model. The record is from RNAcentral. Lineage: Bacteria; Bacillati; Bacillota; Bacilli; Lactobacillales; Enterococcaceae.
CACGCUGGCGGCGUGCCUAAUACAUGCAAGUCGAACGCUUCUUUCCUCCCGAGUGCUUGCACUCAAUUGGAAAGAGGAGUGGCGGACGGGUGAGUAACACGUGGGUAACCUACCCAUCAGAGGGGGAUAACACUUGGAAACAGGUGCUAAUACCGCAUAACAGUUUAUGCCGCAUGGCAUAAGAGUGAAAGGCGCUUUCGGGUGUCGCUGAUGGAUGGACCCGCGGUGCAUUAGCUAGUUGGUGAGGUAACGGCUCACCAAGGCCACGAUGCAUAGCCGACCUGAGAGGGUGAUCGGCCACACUGGGACUGAGACACGGCCCAGACUCCUACGGGAGGCAGCAGUAGGGAAUCUUCGGCAAUGGACGAAAGUCUGACCGAGCAACGCCGCGUGAGUGAAGAAGGUUUUCGGAUCGUAAAACUCUGUUGUUAGAGAAGAACAAGGACGUUAGUAACUGAACGUCCCCUGACGGUAUCUAACCAGAAAGCCACGGCUAACUACGUG